This 467-nucleotide ribosomal RNA is filed under the name uncultured bacterium. Its description in RNAcentral is "partial 16S ribosomal RNA". It matches the Rfam family "Bacterial small subunit ribosomal RNA", at positions 29 to 507 of the family's 1533-position model. The record is from RNAcentral.
ACGCACGCUGGCGGCGUGCUUCACACAUGCCAGUCGAACGGAAAGGCCCUGCUUUUGUGGGGUGCUCGAGUGGCGAACGGGUGAGUAACACGUGAGUAACCUGCCCUUGACUUUGGGAUAACUUCAGGAAACUGGGGCUAAUACCGGAUAGGAGCUCCUGCUGCAUGGUGGGGGUUGGAAAGUUUCGGCGGUUGGGGAUGGACUCGCGGCUUAUCAGCUUGUUGGUGGGGUAGUGGCUUACCAAGGCUUUGACGGGUAGCCGGCCUGAGAGGGUGACCGGCCACAUUGGGACUGAGAGACGGCCCAGACUCCUACGGGAGGCAGCAGUGGGGAAUAUUGCACAAUGGGCGGAAGCCUGAUGCAGCAACGCCGCGUGCGGGAUGACGGCCUUCGGGUUGUAAACCGCUUUCGCCUGUGACGAAGCGUGAGUGACGGUAAUGGGUAAAGAAGCACCGGCUAACUACGUG